GACGAACGCUGGCGGCGUGCCUAAUACAUGCAAGUAGAACGCUGAAGAGAGGAGCUUGCUCUUCUUGGAUGAGUUGCGAACGGGUGAGUAACGCGUAGGUAACCUGCCUGGUAGCGGGGGAUAACUAUUGGAAACGAUAGCUAAUACCGCAUAAAAUGGAUUAUCGCAUGAUAAUCCAUUGAAAGGUGCAAAUGCAUCACUACCAGAUGGACCUGCGUUGUAUUAGCUAGUUGGUGGGGUAACGGCUCACCAAGGCGACGAUACAUAGCCGACCUGAGAGGGUGAACGGCCACACUGGGACUGAGACACGGCCCAGACUCCUACGGGAGGCAGCAGUAGGGAAUCUUCGGCAAUGGACGGAAGUCUGGCCGAGCAACGCAGCGUAAGUGAAGAAGGUUUACGGAUCGUAAAGCUCUGUUGUAAGAGAAGAACGAGUGUGAGAGUGGAAAGUUCACACUGUGACGGUAUCUUACCAGAAAGGGACGGCUAACUACGUG
RNAcentral lists this ribosomal RNA (497 nucleotides) under uncultured bacterium. RNAcentral describes it as "partial 16S ribosomal RNA". It matches the Rfam family "Bacterial small subunit ribosomal RNA", at positions 28 to 507 of the family's 1533-position model. The record is from RNAcentral.